Molecule: long non-coding RNA, 2722 nt
Organism: Platichthys flesus (European flounder)
Lineage: Eukaryota; Metazoa; Chordata; Actinopteri; Pleuronectiformes; Pleuronectidae
Exons: 2
Source: RefSeq, a predicted model, not a curated record
UGAUAAAUAAAAUGGUAGCUUAUUAAGUAUAGUUUUGCAAAUAAAAUCAAGACUGUGUUGUUCCCUACAUUUGGCAAGUGAAGGCCACCCUACAAUCUGCUAGAAGGUACAAUUAUGGGUCUGAUAACUGUCAACUGUAAUAAACCUUAGGGAACUGUGACAUAUAUAGCAUCGAGUGGCUUGAGAGUAUGUGUCGCAGCAAGCAUGUAAAUCACACACUCUUGCCCUGAUAAAAAUGUUGCCUGGACAAUCUACAAUCUAUAUGUGAAAGGAAAAUACUACUUUCGAUAACUCAUUAAGGUGAGUUUUAAUAGAUAUUUGUCAACAAGCCAGAUACCCAGAUAAUUAUAUUUUUGAAUUCUUUUAAUUUCAACCCCAGUUUUUAUAAUGAUAUUAAAAAUCAGGGGGUAUUUGAUUUGGGAUCUGGUGAAAAGCCUGUGAUUGGGUUUAUCUGGAUUUAAUACUAUUAAGUUUAGUAAAGGCAUCUUGUUUGACUAAAAAGUCUGACACUAACUCUGUCAGUGCUUUGUCAAUGGAUGGCGCUAAAGGGUAUAUGAGUGUUAUGGAAUGGAGCUAUUAAUGUUUGAUGCUCCUUGCUCAUUUUUCAUAAAGUAAGAACAGUAAAGGACCUUCACUUUGAGCUUCUGUUGGUGACUGUCACUUUUUGUUUUGUAUAUUUAAACACUGAUAGACUUCUCCAUUCAAGUAAGACAGCACCCAACAUUUCUUGUGAAUUUUGUAAAUAUUGUUAUUUUGUUGAGGUGUUGGCUCUCUCUUGUUUUUUUUUCCAUCUGUCACUUGGAAAUAAUGAAUUGAUUAUAUUUCAGUGAUCAAAGGUAGGUCAUGGACCUUAUAAUUUUCUGGAGGACAACAUUUUUAGGUAGAAAUUCCACUGGUUGGUCGAGGCAUACACCCGCACUGUGGUAUUUGGGGUUUUGGUAGUUUUGAGUUUUCAUUUGUCUCACUGAGGGUUAAGAGCAGAGUCUUUGACACAAUGUUCAGCCUUAAGUGAACAAAUUUGAUAUGGGAAUAUGUGUUAUACAAGUAAAAUGAUUGAUUGAUCUUCAUUAAAGGUAUAAGGACUACAGAGAACCUCCUUGGUCAGCCACUCCAUAUGAGAUCUCCAAGGAAUUCUGGGCGGUGCUGGCUGUGCGACUGGCUUUUGUCAUUGUUUUCCAGAAUGUUGUGCUGCUGAUGAAUGAUGUUGUGGACUGGCUAAUUCCAGACAUCCCUAAAGACAUCAGCCUUCAGAUCCACAAGGAGAAGAUUCUAUUGGUAGACCUCUUCAUGAAGGAAGAGCAGGGCAAGGUCCUUAUCCUUGAGAGCAGAUCUUCUACAGGAGGCAAGGAGAACUGCAGCGGUAGCAACAACAACAACUGCACAAUGGCCCACCCGCGCUCCGGACUCCAAAACAACAACACUAAGAGCUUCUAAUGCUUGUAAAAGUGAUUAAUGGUACAGUCUUAGUUAGCAAGUCAAAGCUUGCUAGAAGCCUACUUGCUUAGGCCAACCCUACUCUGUUUUUGUUCUUGUUCGGAACAUUCCUUCAUAUGGGAGAUUUGCUGGCUGAUGAGGUGUGAGGAAAUGGGGCCAAAUGUUUUGCAGUGUGUGUGGAGGGCUAUAGAACUGAAAACUACUUCGUGCAUAUACAUUUUUCAAAUUGUACAACAAUCUCUAAAUGUGUACACAAGUAUUUUAUUGCAAAAACUGUUUUUAUUGUUAACAUUAUUAGACAACAUAGCAUGUGGAGAUAUAAAUUAACAUAGAAGGGUAGUAAGGCAUACCAUUUCUGUUUUAACAGAUUUUAAUCAACCUCAAUCAAAGGCCAAUCCGAAUUAUUUGACGAGGUUGUUGAUGUUCAUACCCAUCAUGCUAGAAAAUACAUAUAAUAUAUAUCCAUCACAGGCCUGACACAAACAACCAAUUACACUCACAUACACAUUUCCAAAUAACCUGCAUUUCUUUGGAGUACUGGUAUUGUUAUGUGAGGAACUGUUAAAUGAGUGUUGAAAUGGAAUGGGUACUUCACCUCCAUCUCAGUAACACUUGUUACUUGACUGUUUUCUGAAAUGUUACUACACUCCUACUGUAUCUGAAAAUGUAAGGUUUUCUUAGACCUGGUAAAAGCUCAACACCUCUGGUACAAAGAAACAGGGCUUAGCCAGGUGUUCUCUACUUUCCAUCUGUCGAGGAACUGCCAGCUUGAUAGGAUUGUUAACCUUGUACCUGAAAUCAGUUUUUGACUAUCUAAAAAUGACUAAAGAAAAAUAGCAUCAACAGUGUUUCUUCUAACUAAAUCAGAUUUUUAUAACUUACUACAGUAGCUUCCCAUGCUUUGUAUUUUAUUGUUGAAGGAAAGAUAGCACUUUUCUGGUUUCUGUAAGCAGAUGUAUAUGGAACUUUAAAGCUUGAUUUAUUAUUAUUUUGAAAAUGCUAUACUGACUGUUAUGGAACUGGGAGCUAUGUAAGGAUAAGUAUAAUAACCUGCACUGGAGUAAUCUUAAUUUACUGCAUGUUGUGACCGUUUAUUUCUACGCCAGUGGUCAUCUCAGUUCCAUUUGUAACAGUAAGCCAUUUUUUACAGUGUGAAUCAGUCACUGUGUUCCUAUUGCCGGUUGUGAUGGGAUCACAAAGUAGCAUGCUGAAGCUAGUUGGACUAAAGAAAUCUGAUGAAUAAUGGGAAAUAAUACAUUUUCAUAAUAAAUAUAAUUUAGCAUUUGUA